GGUGUAUAUGGAAGACUACGAGUUGUCGUCUCGUAUUCUAACUCUGUGUGAAUUGCCAUAUCCAUAAUCUGUUUCGAGAGUUUUCUGCAGUGUGUAAACUUGCGGGAUUUUCUGAAGACGUUCGAACAUUGGCAAAGAGACAAAUUUUGGGAUCUCGUAUCAGAGUGUUUGCUACUAUGCCUAGAGAUGUUAGAGACCAGUGCGCUGGGUUUAGGGCAAGACCUAGGUUUACUUUCGGUUUAAGGAUUGUGCAG
This 254-nucleotide long non-coding RNA is filed under the name Brassica napus (rape). RNAcentral's name for it is "long non-coding RNA (BNAP_LNC004554)". The record is from RNAcentral. Lineage: Eukaryota; Viridiplantae; Streptophyta; Magnoliopsida; Brassicales; Brassicaceae.